This 456-nucleotide ribosomal RNA is filed under the name uncultured bacterium. RNAcentral describes it as "bacterial SSU rRNA". It matches the Rfam family "Bacterial small subunit ribosomal RNA", at positions 340 to 789 of the family's 1533-position model. The record is from RNAcentral.
UACGGGAGGAGCAGUGGGGAAUAUUGCACAAUGGGCGCAAGCCUGAUGCAGCCAUGCCGCGUGUAUGAAAAAGGCCUUCGGGUUGUAAAGUACUUUCAGUCGUGAGGAAGGUGUUAAGGUUAAUAACCUUAGCAAUUGACGUUAGCGACAGAAGAAGCACCGGCUAACUCCGUGCCAGCAGCCGCGGUAAUACGGAGGGUGCGAGCGUUAAUCGGAAUUACUGGGCGUAAAGGGCACGCAGGCGGUUAAUUAAGUUGGAUGUGAAAUCCCCGGGCUUAACCUGGGAAUGGCAUUCAAGACUGGUUAGCUAGAGUCUUGUAGAGGGGGUAGAAUUCCAUGUGUAGCGGUGAAAUGCGUAGAGAUGUGGAGGAAUACCGGUGGCGAAGGCGGCCCCUGGACAAAGACUGACGCUCAUGUGCGAAAGCGUGGGGAGCGAAACAGGGAUUAGAUACCCGU